RNAcentral lists this ribosomal RNA (445 nucleotides) under uncultured bacterium. RNAcentral describes it as "SSU rRNA". It matches the Rfam family "Bacterial small subunit ribosomal RNA", at positions 26 to 518 of the family's 1533-position model. The record is from RNAcentral.
AGAACGAACGCUGGCGGCAGGCUUAACACAUGCAAGCCGAACGCCCCGCAAGGGGAGUGGCAGACGGGUGAGUAACACGUGGGAACGUGCCCUAAGGUUCGGAACAACUCCGGGAAACUGGAGCUAAUACCGAAUGUGUCCGUAAGGAGAAAGAUUUAUCGCCUUAGGAUCGGCCCGCGUCGGAUUAGCUAGUUGGUGGGGUAAUGGCCUACCAAGGCGACGAUCCGUAGCUGGUCUGAGAGGACGACCAGCCACACUGGGACUGAGACACGGCCCAGACUCCUACGGGAGGCAGCAGUGGGGAAGUCUUGGACAAUGGGCGGCAAGCCUGAUCCAGCCAUGCCGCGUGGAUGAUGAAGGCCUUAGGUUGUAAAAUCCUUUCGCCGAGGACGAUAAUGACGGUACUCGGAGAAGAAGCUCCGGCUAACUUCGUGCCAGCAGCCGC